GGGAUUGCCCUAGUAACGGCGAGUGAAGCGGCAACAGCUCAAAUUUGAAAUCUGGCCCUAGGCCCGAGUUGUAAUUUGCAGAGGAUGCUUUUGGUGAGGUGCUUACCGAGUCCCCUGGAAUGGGGCGCCACAGAGGGUGAGAGCCCCGUAUGGUUUGCCACCGAGCCUUUGUAAAGCUCCUUCGACGAGUCGAGUAGUUUGGGAAUGCUGCUCUAAAUGGGAGGUAAAUUUCUUCUAAAGCUAAAUACCGGCCAGAGACCGAUAGCGCACAAGUAGAGUGAUCGAAAGAUGAAAAGCACUUUGAAAAGAGGGUUAAAUAGCACGUGAAAUUGUUGAAAGGGAAGCGCUUGUGACCAGACUUGUGCCGGGCGGAUCAUCCAGCGUUCUCGCUGGUGCACUCUGCCCGGCUCAGGCCAGCAUCGGUUUUCGCCGGGGGACAAAAGCUUCGGGAACGUAGCUCCCUUCGGGGAGUGUUAUAGCCCGUUGCAUAAUACCCCGGCGGGGACCGAGGACCGCGCUUCGGCAAGGAUGCUGGCGUAAUGGUCAUCAGCGACCCGUCUUGAAACACGGACCGAGGAGUCAAGCAUUAGUGCGAGUGUUUGGGUGUAAAACCCGCACGCGUAAUGAAAGUGAACGUAGGUGAGAGCUUCGGCGCAUCAUCGACCGAUCCUGAUGUUUUCGGAUGGAUUUGAGUAGGAGCAUUAACGCUUGGACCCGAAAGAUGGUGAACUAUACUUGAAUAGGGUGAAGCCAGAGGAAACUCUGGUGGAGGCUCGCAGCGGUUCUGACGUGCAAAUCGAUCGUCAAAUUUG
Molecule: ribosomal RNA, 812 nt
Filed under: Magnaporthaceae sp.
Lineage: Eukaryota; Fungi; Ascomycota; Sordariomycetes; Magnaporthales; Magnaporthaceae
Description: partial large subunit ribosomal RNA
Rfam family: Eukaryotic large subunit ribosomal RNA
Source: RNAcentral